RNAcentral lists this ribosomal RNA (253 nucleotides) under uncultured bacterium. RNAcentral describes it as "partial 16S ribosomal RNA". It matches the Rfam family "Bacterial small subunit ribosomal RNA", at positions 524 to 776 of the family's 1533-position model. The record is from RNAcentral.
UACGUAGGGGGCAAGCGUUGUCCGGAUUUAUUGGGCGUAAAGAGCGUGUAGGCGGCCAUACAGGUCAGCUGUGAAAACUCGAGGCUCAACCUCGAGACGUCGGUUGAAACCGUAUGGCUAGAGUCCGGAAGAGGAGAGUGGAAUUCCCGGUGUAGCGGUGAAAUGCGCAGAUAUCGGGAAGAACACCCGUGGCGAAGGCGGCUCUCUGGGACGGUACUGACGCUGAGACGCGAAAGCGCGGGGAGCGAACAGG